Molecule: long non-coding RNA, 1775 nt
Organism: Epinephelus moara (kelp grouper)
Lineage: Eukaryota; Metazoa; Chordata; Actinopteri; Perciformes; Serranidae
Exons: 2
Source: RefSeq, a predicted model, not a curated record
GUGAAACCUGAAGUUCUGUCAUUGUUCAAGUUUUAAAUAUUAAACAUACCUGUCCUUGGCGUACCUGUCCUCAGCAGGCCUCUCCGUGUGCCCGGCGGGGGAGCUCAUGAUGUCACAGUGAUGUCUCUGACCAGCAUGUGUUCAGCUGCAUUUCACAGCAGAGGCUCCCUCUUAUUGGUCGACGCUCACCUGCUCUGUGCAGACAGGUGAGGCAGCAGGUCAGCUUCACUCUCACUUUAUUAAUAUUAACAAAUGAGCAGCUGAGGCUAUUUAAAGCAGGAGGAAGUGCUGGGCGUCCUCACGGUCCUGCUGUCCGUUUCUUUAACCUCUGGUUAUUAUUUAUUAUAAAAGUCCAGCUGCACAAACACAAACAAUUAAUGUUAGAGAAACAUUUUAAUGCCCAGAGGAAGAAUUUAAACCGAGUUUAAGAUGUGCAUUAAUUGUAAGCACUGUCUCUCAUUUGUUUUGGCUGACUUAUUCAUUGAUUUUAUCUCAUGUACUCCAACACAUGGCAGAGGAAGAUUUGUAUGAAACCAGUGACAAAUUUCUAUGUGAGUGAACAAUACAGAUGUCUAUUUAUAAAAUGUCAAAAAUUUGGCUUGAAAUCUGUUUACUGAGGUUUUAUUUGUUCAGACAAAAAAAAAAAAAGAAUUUUGACCCAAAGUAAAAAUGGUAAUUUUUUCUCAGACUUAAAAAAACUCUUUAACUGAAGUCAAAACAUUUCAUGUAGUUUCUUAUAAUUUACUUUCGCUCCUCUUCUUAUUUUUUUUAUGUUUUUUUUUACAUUUAUGAUAGAACAGCUGUAGAGUGACAGGAAAGGGAGGAGGGGGAGUAUGGAGAUGACACGCAGCAACGGGCGCUCGCAUAAUAUAUACACUGAUUAAAGAUUUAUGCCAUAUUGCCCACCCCUGCAACAACGUAAAACAAUAUAACGCUUUAAACCAAGGUGAACUGUUCCUUUAAUUCUUUACAUAAACACAAUUAAUCACCUGCUACAGAAAAACACAACAGACCCUUCAGCAGGAGUCGAGGUGAGUCAAGGUGACCUCUGAUCUCCUGUAACUUUACAUCAUCUGGAAAAAAGAAAUGAAUCAACAGGAAGUUCCAAACACAAAACUUUAAUGAUUGUCGUUCACAGAUUCAACAGUUCACGUCAGCUGAUUUUAUCUAAUACUGUUUGUGUUUCGUUGUUAAAUUUGUUUUUAUCAACAGUUUAAAACAGGUCUGAAAAGAGGUGAUCAUUGAUGUCACAAUGCUGCAGGUAACCAGCAGGUGGCAGUCACCUGACAGGAACUGUUGUAAUGUACCUUUAUGAAGGGAAACAGGUUGAUACAAACACAACAGGUGUUGAUGUCUGAUGUGACAUGAUGAGGUGUUUGGGGUCAAAGGUCAGCAGGAUGUGUUUAAAGGGGACCUAUUGUGCUCAUUUACAGGUUCAUACUCAUAUUUUAGGCUUCUUCUCUUCUAGAAGACGAUUACAUGUUUAAAUGUUUGAAAACACUUUACUGUCCUCAAACUGUCUGUGCUGGAACACCUGCAUUCACCCUCUGAUUGAGACGCUCUGUUUUAGCUAGGGCUGGGUGAUAAAACGAUCUUGAAGCGGGAUUGCAAUAAAACGUGUGUCAAUGACGACAAUAAACUAUAAUCAAUCUGCAGUUUUUGGGAUGAGCGUCAUUGUACACGCCCACUUUUCACUGCAAAGUUUGUGCUGAGGUGAGGAGGAACUGAAAGAAGCGUGGAUGUCACAAAAAGAGGGGAAAAGUGGGAGUGGAAGU